This 404-nucleotide long non-coding RNA is filed under the name Androctonus crassicauda. The record is from RNAcentral. Lineage: Eukaryota; Metazoa; Arthropoda; Arachnida; Scorpiones; Buthidae.
UGAAAUGGUAUAUUCAUUUGUACAAAAGUUUGCGAUUAAAGAAAUAAGUCUCUUAUUGUGCAGUGAAGAAUCUAAAUUGUGAUUUUCUAGUUAUUCAGAUUUUUUAAAAACUAAUCCUUUUCCAUAUUAAUAUUUUUAAUUUAAAAAUGGUUUCCAAAAAGAGAUUUAAAGGUUGGUUCCCACUAGUGUGGAACUGUGGCAGAAAAUAUGGGCAUGACAAAAGCAUCACAGUUUGGAUGUCAUACCAUGGCAUUAAAACUGCUACCAUCCUGAGUCUAUAUGAAUUCAACUUUACCGUGAUGGUAAAAUCCGUCGAGGCAACGUUCACCAAUCACAUCUAUGCAUUUUAUGAUGUUGAAUAAUUGGCAACUUUGAUUCAAGAUGACGGGAUUCUAUGAUUAAAU